ACCUCAGAAAAGGCCUUGUGAGGACAGACAUUGCUUAGAAAACAGGCUGUGUAUAUCUACAUACAGUAUUUGAGAAGUGGAGGAAGGAGAGUAAUAUCUGCCACUACCUACGAUUGAAUUCUCAACCUUCUCAACCCAAGUGGGAGACGAGCACCUUCAUCACUAAGCAACCACACUGCUUUAUUACCUGAAUCACUGCUGGCCGUUAAAGUAUGAUGCCAUAGGACUUCAACUUGUAACUUCCUCUUGGCUUCCCCAUUAACUUUGCUUGUUGGAAGCUAGCUGUGAAGGCCACACAUUUUGAUCAUGUGACCAUGAGAUGCUGAGACCAUCGCAAGUGCAAGGUUGUUGCUAAGUUUAUUUUCAGCACUAUUGUAACUUCAAUCUGAAGGAGUGCUGGUUGAACAGGGACUGCUGUUUUGUCUUCUAUAAAAAUGACUGUUUAUUUCUA
Molecule: non-coding RNA, 451 nt
Organism: Pantherophis guttatus
Lineage: Eukaryota; Metazoa; Chordata; Lepidosauria; Squamata; Colubridae
Source: RefSeq, a predicted model, not a curated record